GUGAAUCAUCGAAUUUUUGAACGCAAAUUGCACUCUCCUCGGAGAGUAUGCCUGUUUGAGGGUCAGCCUAUAAAAAAUCGACAUCGUUGCUGUUUCGCGGUGGGGUUCGUCGGAAUUGGGGUAAUCUUAAAUCUUUUGGUUUUAAGGGACUAAAAAUUUUUUUUUUGGUUCCUUGAAGGUUCUUAGGAUUUAUUUCUUUCCAGGUUUAAGUUAUCG
This 216-nucleotide unclassified non-coding RNA is filed under the name Glomus sp. RNAcentral describes it as "partial contains 5.8S ribosomal RNA and internal transcribed spacer 2". The stretch from base 1 to 65 matches the Rfam family "5.8S ribosomal RNA", at positions 84 to 154 of the family's 154-position model. Lineage: Eukaryota; Fungi; Glomeromycota; Glomeromycetes; Glomerales; Glomeraceae. The record is from RNAcentral.